RNAcentral lists this ribosomal RNA (524 nucleotides) under uncultured bacterium. RNAcentral's name for it is "bacterial SSU rRNA". It matches the Rfam family "Bacterial small subunit ribosomal RNA", at positions 772 to 1302 of the family's 1533-position model. The record is from RNAcentral.
ACUAAAUAGAUACCCGGGUAGUCCACGCUGUAAACGAUGAUUACUCGAUGUUGGCGAUACACAGUCAGCGUCUGAGCGAAAGCAAUAAGUAAUCCACCUGGGGAGUACGAUCGCAAGAUUGAAACUCAAAGGAAUUGACGGGGGCCCGCACAAGCGGAGGAGCAUGUGGUUUAAUUCGAUGAUACGCGAGGAACCUUACCUGGGCUCGAACGUAAGAUGACUGUAGGUGAAAGCUUACGUCUCUUCGGAGCAUUUUACGAGGUGCUGCAUGGUUGUCGUCAGCUCGUGCCGUGAGGUGUCGGGUUAAGUCCCAUAACGAGCGCAACCCCUACCUUAGUUGCCAACAGGUCAUGCUGGGGACUCUAAAGGAACUGCCUACGCAAGUAGUGAGGAAGGCGGGGAUGACGUCAAAUCAGCACGGCCCUUACGUCCAGGGCUACACACGUGCUACAAUGGCCGAUACAGAGGGCAGCUACCUGGUGACAGGAUGCAAAUCUCCAAAGUCGGUCUCAGUUCGGAUCGGA